UGCACAAAUAUUUGGUCUAGUAACAAACUGAAAAGGGUCAAAACAGAAAGAGGUGAGAUUUGAAGGCAAAGACAAAGAAUUGAGCUUGGAUUGGAAUUCUUGGAGGCAAGAAACAGAAGUUUCCAAAUUGGGUAAACGGAAAAGAGAAGUUUCUUUAAGGUGUUGUGCCAUAGCAACACCAAAAAGGGACAAAAGAUUCUGGCAGCACUUUCCUUUGCCUGACGUGGGAAUAUCAGAACCAUUGGAAAGCUGAGGAGUUGAAUUCAGAACUUUACAGUUAGAACUAGACCAUGGGACUCUUAAAACAUACCCAAAAUCUAAAGGACAAGUUGAAGACGAGUUAGUGCUACUUUGAGCUGAUGAAACUGAAAGUACCCAAGAAAACAAACAGAACAACAAACACACAAUCCACAAAUCACCUUUCAUCCUAAGUACUUUACUUGUGACGUUUGAUAUUACCCACGAAAAGGAAAAAAAAUGGGAUCUUUUGAUUCAAGAAACCAUUUUUAAUGUGCCCAAAAAGUGUUUUGAUGAUUGAUGAUCUGUAUGUGGAGUUUUUAUGCAAGAAGGUGUGCCAGGGUCAAAGGUUAGGUUCACUUUCUGUUUAUGAAUCUUAAAGGUUUAGUAAAGGCGGCUGACUUUAUAAAGUAGUACUAACUGAAAAGGAAAAAUCAAAUAGGAACGUGCAUGAACAAAAGCUCCUUAGAUGACAAUUUUAAGAUAAUGUAAUUUCGAUAACAAAGAAAUAUUUAGGUGAUUUCCUAGAAACAUCAAAGUUUAGUAAGGGAUUUUCUAGUUAUUUGCCAGAUGUCACCACUGAAACUAAAAGUGAACAAGAUGCUUGUUCAGCGGUCAGUCUUGAUGUCUCCUUUGCCUUUCUUACCUCAUCACCCAUUUAUUGGGUCAUCUUUAAUGGUUGGAUUGGGAUAAAAGAAUUUAAACGUUGGCUGGAUUAAUAUUAGGAGAAAACAAAAUUAACAUAGAUGCCACGUAGGUAAAUAAAGGUGGUUAUAUGAGAAUUAACAUUAUAAAGGAAAAUGUUCGCCCAAACUGGAUGACAAACGCAAUUUAACAAUGGAAAGAUGUAACUUAAAUUUGUGUGGGAAGAUACAAAUCUGACCAGUUUCUGUACCCAUUAAUGAGAAAAAGGGCCAAAUAAAUGGUACUAGUAAGCAGUAUCUAGCGAGUUUUAGUUCCAAUUUACUGGUUGAGGAAGAAAAAAUCGGCGUAGGUAAAUUUUUAACAUGCAGAUCAAAAUUUAACCUGAUAAAAAUCAUAACAGAUUUUCUGAAAAAGAUUGAACUUUACUGGAAAAAGGUAUCGUUUUCACUCUAAAUUAUAUAAGAAAAAUCGAAGCCACACUUAAACUAUACUAAUCACCUAUUACACACCUAAACUAUAAAAAAGUGAUAAUUUUUUCCAGUAUUAUACCACUUGCAUGUGGUGUGGUGUUGCACACGCGCCUGCCACGUCAGCAUGAUACGAAAAAAUAAUAAAUUUAUUAUUUUCAUAAAUUUUUCUUUUUUCUUUUUAAUUUAAAUUCUUUUUCUUUCCUCUUCAAUUUUUUUUUCUUUUUCUUCAAUAUCCAAAACCUCUAUUAUUACGAGUUCAAUUUUUUUUUUUCAUAUCCAAAAUCUCCAUUGUUGUCCAAAACUUUCAUUGUUAUGAGUUUAAUUUUUUUUUUUCUUCAAUAUUCAAAGCCUCCAUUGUUGUCCAAAACCUUCAUUGUUAUGAGAUCCAUUUUUUUUUCAAUAUCUAAAACCUCCAUUGUUAUGAGCUCAAUUUUUUUUUUUUCUUCAAUGUCCAAAAUCAUCAUCUUCUUCUUCAAUUUCGAAAAAGAAAAAAGAAAAUUAACGGAAUCAUAUUCCUAAUGGGAAGAUGAUAUAAAACCAAUACACCCAAGCAAUAACUUCAUUCAAAUUCAAUAUCAUCUUCUUCUUUUUCUUCAAUUUCUUCAAUGUCCAGAACCAUCUUUUUCUUUUUCUUCAAUUUCCCAAACGACCAUAAUGACAUCUUCUUCUUCCAUUGUUGAUAUAAAAUCAAUACACCAAAGCAAUAACUUCAUUCAAUUCAAUCUUCUUUGUUAUACGACACCAAAAGUUACAACACUAUCACCACUUAAUUGCACCACCCAUCAUCAAAUUCACACAUAAUUACAGUCACCAAAAAUCAAUACGCCUCACCACUAAUUCAUCACCCGACAUCAAAAUAAAUUUUGAGCAAUUUUAACAUAUUAUUAUUAAUUGAGUAAAAUUGAAAGAAGAUUUUUAUAGAGACAAGAUAGAUCUACAAAAAAAGUGUUAAAAAAUUAAUUUUUGAGCAAAAUUCAUAAAAUUUUACAAAGAAAGAACAGAAAUACAAAAAUAAAUUGAAAAAUUGAUGUUCAACGUGAGAGCAAUAACAUUUAAUUAAUUUCAAACGUCUUAUCGAAAAUUUUUUUGAUUGGCGACGAUUUCAUCCUCAAUCUUUUCUAUUUUUUUCUUUAAAAACUAUCAUGAAAAAAUUAUUCUCAUCAACCAUAGUAAAUGAGGAGUGAUUGUGAUGAAAAAGAAAGAAAGAUUGAGAGAGAAAAAAAAUUAGAGAUGGAUGAGAAGUGAGUGUGCGCGCAGGGGUGGGGUUAGGGGUUUAAAGAUUUUUUGCUUUUUUUUUCUCCAGACGCGCCUUAUUUUUUUAAAAAAAUUAAUGUUAUUUCCACGUCAGAUUCAGGUGGAAUUAAGUUCACUUUUGAGAAGAAUAUGUGUGUAAUAGGUCGCCACGUUAGUUUAGGUGUGUAAGUGACUUUUUAUGUAUAGUUCAGGGUGGUUUUGAUGACUUUUCCCAACUAUAUUAUGAAAAGAAUAUCUACAUACUACAGUAUGUUGAAUACAAAAGGGAAAGAUCACAAGCUGUGGAAGAGUCUAUAAGAGUUAGUUAUGUUUGAAUUCUGUUAUAACUGUUUUCUUGAGUCAGUUAGUUACAUUGUGAUUAACAGCUAGUUGAAGUAGUUAGAAAAAAUAGUUGAUUCCUCUAUAAAUACCAAUUAUAUACUAUUGAUUACAUAAGUUGAAUAAACAAGAUCCAUUAUUCUACUCUACUAAACUUCUUCUUCUUUUCUGAUUCUCUUACUCUGUUCUUCUUUUUCUUUUCUUCCUCUUCUUUGCUAUUCAGUGCAUAUCUCAAAGCUAGAGUUAAAGCACUGAUCAAGAAAUAAUUACAUGGUAUCAAAGCCAGGUUAGCUAGAUCAAAACUAGCUAACUUAGUCGAUUCUGAAGAUUGAAAAAGAAAGUGUUCAGUUCAUUCUGAAAGUCUCGGAUACUUGAGUCAAGAUUUGAAGAUUUGAGUCAUGGCUAAUGGUGUGAAUGGUGUCGAAAUUGAUGGUGGAUUAACCAGAAACACAAGAGAUGUAAAUGCAAUAGAUUACAAUCAUCCUCUUUUCCUCAGUCCCUCAGAUGUGAAUGGUAUACAGAUUAUCUCCUUCCAGUUAACAGGUGUGGAAAACUUCUCAAUCUGAUUUAGGUCUAUGCUAUAGCUCUAUUAGGGAGGAAUAAGUUAGGACUUGUUAAUGGUUCUUGCACGAAAGAAAAGUUCUCUUCUGAUAUGGGAAACCACUAGGAAAGAGUAAAUGCUAUUGUGCUGUCAUGUAUUAUGAACUAUGUGUCUAAAGAGUUAUUAGGUGGAAUCGUGUAUGCCUCAGUUGCAAGUAUUGUGUGGAAUGAGUUGUUUGAAAGGUUCAACAAAGUGGAUGGUGCUAGAACUUUCAAUCUGCACAAGGAGAUUGCAACAUUGUCUCAAGGAACAACUUCUGUGUCCUGCUAUUUCUCAAAACUAAAGGAUCUAUGGGAGGAAUUUGAGGCACGUGUGCCUGCUCCUGGUUGUGAUUGCUAAAAAUCAAAGGAUUUGUCCUACAUCUUCAAAAACUGAAGUUGUUUCAGUUUCUUAUGGGUCUAAAUGAAACAUAUACACAGGCUAAAAGCCAAAUACUACUUAUGACCCCUUUGCUUACUGUUAAUCAGGCAUAUGCCAUGAUAAUGAGUGAUAAAAGCGGCAAAUCUGUAGCUAGCUACUAAUGCAGGUGUACUGGGAUCUGGUCCUGUAGGUGUUGGUAGAAGUCUUGACUUAGCCAUGUUUACAAGAAAUAGGACACAAAAAUUCAAGAAGAACUACAACUUGCAGUGUGACUUCUGUAAGCUAAAAGGUCAUACUAACCUGUUGGAAGUUAGUUGGAUAUUCUCAAGAUCACAAGUUCAAAAAGAGGUUUAGGUCUGAAGGAGCUAAUACAGCAUAUAAGGUGACUACUGAUUCUCAAGAUGCUGCAAAAAUGACUACAAGGCAAGGUUCUCAUUCUAGAUCUGUCCAAAGUAACUGGUUCAAUGAUGGAAGCCAUCAAGAAGAGUCUAAAAUGCAGUUGGAUCAACCAGGUCAGAUAGGAACAACAGCCUGUACUAAGAAACAAUAUGAUUAAAUCAUGAAGAUGAUCGACAAAAAUAAUGGUGCUAGCACUUCUACUGAGACAACAAAUGCUGCAAAUACAGGUAUUAGUGUACUUCAUAUGAGGCAGGUAUCCCCCUCUCUCCCUCCUCCUCUUCUUCUCCUUCGUCUUCUUCUUCCUCCUCCUCCCUCUCCCUCUCCUCUUCCUCCUCGUCUUCUCCUUCUUCUUCCCCUCCCCCUCCUCCUCUUCUUCUUCUCUUUCGUCUUCUUCUUCUUCUUCCAUCUUCUUAUCCUUUUUUCACAAAUAAUAUACCUCACUUUAGCCCUCUCAAAGCUCAAUUUCCAUUAGUCUUCUAUUGAAUUUAGUCUUCUAUUGAUAUAGAUUUAUCCUCCAUCACAACAUCCCCAAAAUUGUUUUCAUCCUUUAAUAUCAGUCAUACCUCCUUUUGACAUAAUAAUUAAAACUAUUAAAAACUAUAAACAAAUAAAAAAGAAUGUUAAUCAGCAGGUCUUGCUUUUGGUCUUGGGGAAGACAGAGAGGACAAAAUCUGGGAAGAAUGGAAUGAUGAUUGAAUAAUGUGCAAAUCAUGUGUAGUUUAUCCUUGUACAUGACAUAACCUAACAUCUCUUGUACUGAAAUCAUAAUUUAACUUGGUCUACUGGUCAUAUAAGUAUCAUUUAUGAAUAAUUAAUUACAAAAGAGGAGGUCAAUUCCAUAGUCUCAAUAAGUUUUGAGUCUUAAAUUGAAUGGGUUCAGCAGAAUCAUGUAUUAUAUGAUGUUGAUUGCUUCAUUUGGCCUCUCAAGCAACUUUAAGGGGCUUUCAGAGGCGCUAUCGUCUAGCUUUUGAUAGAGCCAUUAAGGGUACAAGCACUCAAAUCAGACAGCAGAUGUUACACUGUCGUAUGUGCUAACGCAUAUAAGCCUUCGUUGGAGGCAAAGGUAAGUUAUGAUAUCAUAUAUGUUACAUUUGCUGAUACAGAGAGCGGAGGCAAUGUUGUCUAUAUUCAGCUCUAGGAUGGAGGGAUUUGACGAGCAAGAAAAGGCAAUUCCACCACUGUACCCUCAACAUCAUCACCAAUAAUUACACACUCUCCCUCGGAAGCAGCUUUCCUCUUAUUAUAGCCAAGUCCAAGGGGCUGAGAUGCUCGUUUACCAGUACUGGAAACCUUACCAACCUGCAGAAGUUCAUAGCACCAUCAUUCUGGAAUUUCUUCCAAAAGGUCAUACUAGGAUAUAUAAAGUUUCCCAUGCAUUAGAACCCACUGGGAUAGCACCAUGACCUAGAAGAGCUUUCCAGACCGAUUCAGCGGCAGCUGGAGACAUCAGUAGUGAAUAACCUUCUUCAGAGAUUAUAUUUCCCACUCCCACAGUUAUAGGCAUUCCAUUUACCGUCACAUGUUAAUGAAUUUCAUAAGAAAAAGUAAAAUGUCCAACUCCUAUUUCUUGGAAAACUCAGGCAUGACAAUAUGCUCAAGAUAUUGCAAUGAAUCUAACAUAUAGGAUAUGAGAAAACUAAACCAGCAGAAGCUAUACAGUAGAGAAGUUAAGAAGCUAAUACUUCAGUGGUAAGAAAGGACAUUAACUGCGGAUGUUGCAGACAAAUGGCAGAAAACUACAAAUAUUCUACAUUAAGAAGAUUGAUUCUGACAUACAAGAACAGUCAUGAAUGCAGCACGAGGUUGGCUUAAGAGGUUGCAAUUGGAAAUGACAACUAAAUGGACAGAUACUCGUGUUUCUCAAUAAUUAAAGUGAGAAAUUAGUGAAUUGACGCAUGAACUAAAAAUGACAGAGGGUCCAACAAAAUCUGAACAUUUCAAUGAGUCAAAAGCAAUGCAUCUCCUUUGAAAAAGAGAAAAAAACAUUGGAAAUCAUUGUUCGGGUUUGGAUUAUUCGACACAAUUUAAUCACCAUUUUGUAUUGAAUCAGUUUGUUGUCAAACUAGUUCUCUGGUUACUUUACAAGAUAAUCAAUAGUCAGAGCUAUUACCAAUCAUAAGUAAUUCUUUUAAUUGAAUGCUCACUUUGAUCGCUUUCCUGCGACUUUUAUUUCAAUGGAAUUAGCAUAGCAUGGUUGGUUGUUUAUCCAUAAUCGAAAUUUUACUCAUCCUUAACCGGCAUUAAACACUCUUUUAUCUUCUUAGCAGGAAAACAAUUAGGUAGGGAAUGGUUUUUCAAGAACCUUGAAACAUAAAUAUGUAGAUAUAUGACUUUACAGGCAACAUACAUCACAAGGCACCACGGCUAGCUAUAUUACAGAGGAAUAUCAGCUAUUACUAACUUUUACAAUAUAUAUAUAACACAUACCUAUAAAGAAAUGGAAAGCAAAAGAAAAUCUGUUGUUUGCCUAAGAAGAUUGUCAAAAGUUCAGGGUUGUUGGUAAGAAUGAAAGAAAGAAAAAAUUCUGACAUCUUCCAAAAUUUCAACACUAUUUUCCAAUUACCUACAUCCCUGUCUUCCAUCGAAUAGGCAUCAAACUAAAUGUACUCAUGGUGUUUUAAGCUGGAGUGCAAGUAGAUGGUAUGUCUGAUUUCAUUCGACAUUUGAGAUUUCUAAAUAUGUCUCCUUCACUGGAAAUGGAAGCAACAGAAGUCUCCGACAUAUAUUCUUCAAUCAAAAAGUUUCGCAAGCUCUCAUUUCCCAGGUUCAACUCUGCAGAAACUUCAUUAGCUUCCCCAAUCUCAACAAGCAAGAAAUGGAUGCAAUAUGAGAAACUCAUAUUGUCACCUGAGCAUGUCUCCAGCAGGCAGUUGCAAGCAACUCAAGGCUGGUGAUAUGCUGAAUGUGUUACCUUUAGCAUUAUAAAAUGAAGGUUGUCCAAGAGGUGCUGGUCUAUCUGGAAUUUCAGGAACCUCAAUAUCUCCUUCUAACAUUUUCAGUGCAUCCAAUAUAGUUGGCCUCAAGGCCACCAUCACGUGGGCACAUAAUAUUCCAACGAGGAGAAAUCUCACCAUUAUAGCCCUUGGAUUUGAACUUACUGAAUCCUCAGUCUUUACUAGGAUGCUAUCCAAAAUUUCAUUUAUCUUUCCAGCUUUUACCUUCGACCAAGCCCAAUCUGUGAUCAGAAAAUCACGAGGCGAUCCUGAAGAGAAAUCAAGGACCUUCCUUCCACACAUUAUUUCCAAAACAACAACUCCAAAGCUAUAAACAUCGCUCUUCUCAGUCAAUUGCCCAUAGAGAGCAUAUUCAGGAGCUAAGUACCCAUGCGUUCCUGCCACUCUGGUGGUAAGAUGAGAUUCUCCUUCUCUACUUUGCUUAACCAACCCGAAGUCAGCCACUCUCGCUCUCAUAUCAACAUCUAACAGAAUAUUAGUAGCUUUAAUAUCCCUGUGAUAAAUUGCUGGCUUUACCCCAUAAUGCAGAUAAGCUAGUCCUUUUGCCACAUCCAAAAUUAUGUUUUUCCUCUGGGGCCAAGUCAAUGGUUGCUUCAGUAUUCCACCUUGAUUUACAGCACAUAAAUGGUCAUCGAGAUUUCCAUUGGGCAUGUAAUCAUAGACGAGAUAUCUUUCACUCUCCCCACUUUCAAUCCGGUUCUCAUCAGUCACACAACACCCCCUAAGCGGUACAAGAUUACGAUGCUUCAAGUUACUAAUAAUCUCAACCUCAUUGCAAAACUCAUCAUUUCCUUGAAAAUCAGAUUCUAUAAUCUUUUUGACAGCAACAUUAGUCCCAUCUGCUAAAGUUCCUUUAUAAACUAUCCCAAAUCCACCUCUCCCUAUAAAAUUCUUUUGGGAAAAAUUAUCAGUUGCCUUUUCAAGAUCCUGAAUUUUGAACCAAACAGCAGUAUUAGGCCUCAUUCUUCGCCUAGACACGGUAUCUUCCAUUUCCACAUCAUCAUUUUUCCUCCACCUUUUGUUCCACCAGACAUACAGUCCCAACACCAAAGACAUGCAUAAUACUGCCAUACCAGCUCCAGCCAACCCAAAUAUUAACGCUAAAUUUCGCUUGCUUGAUGAACUAGUGUUUUUCAAAUCAAUACUUAAAAUACAUGACAUGGCACCAGUACUUUCAGGACCAAACUCAUUCACAAUACCAGCAGCAUACAAAACAGUGAAGUAAAAACAAUCAGUAGAAUGAGAUGAAUUACCAUCAAUUGCUAUCAACUGUUGCUGAACUCUAAAGCCAGCAGCCACACAACCAGCACAGUCAGUAUAAUCCUCAAAAUCAGACCUGCAACCAGAAUCAAGAGCAGUUGAAGGCCCCAGCUUUUUAUUCCAAUCUUGGAUGGUCAGAAUUGAUGCACAAAUAUUUGGUCUAGUGACAAACUGAAAAGGGUCAAAACAGAAAGAGGUGAGAUUUGAAGGCAAAGACAAAGAAUUGAGCUUGGAUUGGAAUUCUUGGAGGCAAGAAACAGAAGUUUCCAAAUUGGGUAAACGGAAAAGAGAAGUUUCUUUAAGGUGUUGUGCCAUAGCAACACCAAAAAGGGACAAAAGAUUC
This 8841-nucleotide long non-coding RNA is filed under the name Capsicum annuum. RNAcentral describes it as "long non-coding RNA (CANN_LNC013145)". Lineage: Eukaryota; Viridiplantae; Streptophyta; Magnoliopsida; Solanales; Solanaceae. The record is from RNAcentral.